GGCCAUAUCACAUUGAAAUAUUGGUUCCCAUAUGAUCACUGAAGUUAAGCAAUGUUCAGCAUAGUCAGCACCUAGAUAGGUGACUGCUUGGGAAUACCAGGUGAUGUAAG
Non-coding RNA from Acanthosepion pharaonis, 110 nucleotides. Lineage: Eukaryota; Metazoa; Mollusca; Cephalopoda; Sepiida; Sepiidae. The record is from the annotation of a GenBank genome assembly.